GGCAGCAGUGAGUGUCACAGGUUAACAGCAGCACGUUGUUCCUGGAGUUAAGGCUGGUAUUUUAUUUAACUCUGCCAUGCUUUUCACCUGUGAAAUUCUCUGAGCUUUAUGGAAGGAAGCACCUCCUUUCAAGAACAUCUCUUAGUGUGAUGAGGUUUUUGGCUUGUGUUACUCUGUGCCACGCAAACAGCACAGACUGGAUUAUUAUCAGGGUUAAGAAUGAAGUAAAAAAUUUGCUCUGAGGCAGGAAGAGUGGAUUCCAGUAGAUUCGUGGCGACAGCAAUGGCCGGGUGUGCUGGAUUCCUUGCUCGGCUCUGUGCAGAAGUUGCAGCGUGAUCUGAGAUCAAUUCAGAAGAUCAGAAUAUAAAGCUGUCCUCAAGCACUGGUGCUUUCCCUAUCAGGAAUUUGUAAACUGAAGUCCUUAACAUGACCAGAAAGAAACCGCCAGGCUUCUCAAGAUGCCAGCUGGAAGCCUUUGGCUGAAGCUCCCAGCUGGUGCUGUUGGAAUGGCAUAAAAAGAGACUUUGAGGCCAGCGGGCUGAGAUGCUCCUGGGCACAAGCAAACGCUGCUUUCAAUGAAAGCUUUUAAGAGGAAAUCUGUGUCUGAGGACGACGGGGCUCUGAGUCACUUGUUUCCUUCAGUAGUGAAGCCAUCUCCCCAGGGACUGCAGUUUUGCAAGCCCAGCUCUGCCUUGUUGAUUAAGGAAUCCCAUGACUUGGACCACAAGAAGUUUUUCAUUUAUUUCAGAUAGAAUUAAAGACACAGAAAAAAUUAGCAUAUAAUUUGUUGGCAGGCUGCAUCCCCCACACCACCAUUACCCCCUAACCCUUAUGUUUGCUUCCCAAAUGUAGGUAAUGAUGAGACUCAAGGGAGACGUGAAUUAUAACUUGUCUGUGGCUUGGCUAAUGAAGAAGGAACAGACUUUGUUUCCAUCUGGACUGUGGUUUUAUUUAUUUUCUCCCUUUUACUUUAAAUAAAGGAAGUUGAAUUUCUUAAAAAUUGCUGUGAAAGUAAAUUAACCUGUGUUUAUUGGUAGUAGGAGUGUGGCUCCUGAACAGCCCUUGUCUAAAUUAAUACUUGUUGCUUAUACGAAGUGUGUUAACGUUAGGAGAAUGUCUUUAAGAUGUUCAGUGCCUUGUAAAUUACUGGGGAUAGCUAUAGGAACAGCUCACGUAACUCUAGCUGUGCAGGAUGGUUCUUGCAUCUUGGUUCUGCCAGGGUUUUCCUUCUGCAUGGAGUAUCCAGCCAAGUCCUUCUGCAGGGGAAAAAAUGGGCUGCAAGUGUAAAGGAGCCCUGAAUUUGGAGCCGAAAGAAGCACCGAGAGCUUCUGCGCCCCUUUGCAGGUUCUGAUUUUAUAGGAGGUUGAUUCUGCAGCUAUGUGGUGCUACAGCUAGAGAAGUUGGUAUCUGCCUUUAUCACUUAGGUUAUUCCAACGAGCUGAGAGAGGGAACAAAAUGCUUUGCCUUUGCAGGUUAACUGUCCAGAAGACCAGCAUCAGAUAAAUGGAAAUGAAAACACAGCUUGGGAGACUAGCAAAGAUAAAGCGAGGACAAGACCAAUUAGCAGCAGUUAGGUGGUUUACAGUACUUCAGAAUUAAUUUCUAACAGUGUGAGCUGCUAUUCCUGGGCAAAUGCCAUCAGUUCGACAUCAUCUAGUUAUCCUUCAAUUUAAUGAUUUGCUCUCCUGGGUGUUAGGGGUUUCAUACUUCUCCAGUGACUUUUUUUUCUGCUGACUCCAGGAAGGUUUGUAGUAACUUUUGGAGUGCUACUGUGAAGGAGAGGAGCAUUUUCCCUCAUAAAACCUUAAUGCUGUCUGUAGCGUUUUCUUAAUCUGACAAGAUUAGAAAUCAUUUUGCAGCUACAUAGUAGGCAAUAGAGAAGAGCAGUUGGACUGGCUUCCCUUAUGUUCUUCUACUGCUUUAAAAUGACCCUGAAUCUCCUCAAUGUGUUCUGUCUUGUCUUUAGACCGUAACAUUGGAGAAAUGUACAUAUGGCUCCAGUCUCAUUAGGCGUGGUGUGAAAACGAAACUGGGAUGGGGAAAAAAAGGAGAUGUGAUUCCCCAGUGAAAAUAACUAUUUCCUAUUCCGUUGUAUGUAGCAACUUAGAUUGUUUUUCCCUGGGUGAAAUUUGCCUCUGGAGGCCAAGAAGCCCACCAAAAUGUUACUGAGGUCCUACUUUAAGAAAUCCAAUAUGUCUUCUGUGAGCAGAAGGGCAGAAUGUGAACUCCACCUCUGUAUGUUAUUAGCCCUGUUGAGCAUUCCUAGAACCUGCUGGAAAAUGGAAAGGGCUGUUCUGCUUUUCUCUGAGUUUCACGUUCACUAUUCUGGUUGCUUGUCUGGUUGGAGAGAUGGAGGCUGUUUUCUUUCUAGUUCAAACUCUGUGGCAUGCAGAACACGCGUGCUUCCUUGCAGCUCUGCGCACCCGCACCCCACACAUCAAUGCAUGAUUUCAGAGGGGGAAGGAGAUUUUACUUUUGUUCUUUCUCAGAUUGAUUUUUCUUUAAUCUACCACAAGAUGUGUAGACAGAGAGGACACAGCUGUUUGAGCAGAGGGAAACCAAAAUGUGCAGUAAUGGAUUACAGUAAAGCCUCCUGUCUUCUGUCAAACGAUUUGUAAAUUACAUCAGGUUUCCAUAAUCAUAAUUACAAGAAUAUUUUUUUAAUUAAGAU
Gallus gallus (chicken) is the source of this 2671-nucleotide long non-coding RNA. NCBI's taxonomy places the organism in Eukaryota, Metazoa, Chordata, Aves, Galliformes, Phasianidae. The record is from Ensembl.